Trifolium pratense (red clover) is the source of this 403-nucleotide long non-coding RNA. RefSeq lists it as uncharacterized. The record is from RefSeq and is a predicted model, not a curated record. NCBI's taxonomy places the organism in Eukaryota, Viridiplantae, Streptophyta, Magnoliopsida, Fabales, Fabaceae. The transcript has 2 exons.
CUUCCUUUUUAUUUCUAUGAUUUAUAUCAUAUUUAUUUCUUACUUUUGUUUUUAUUUUUCAGAUCUAUAAAAAGCAUAGGAAAACUCAACAUUAAUCUAAAACGUCGUGAAAGAGAAGAUAAUGAAAAUAAAAAAGAUGAAGGUUCCACUAAAUGAAAGUGAAGAAAGUGAAGGGUUCCAAGAAAGAAGAGAAACGCCAGAAAUUAGAUUAGUCUCAAGGAGUAUAAAUAUUGAAAGUGCAAAAUGAGAAAGAGAUGGUGAGGGAUAUGCACGUGAAUGCAGUGAAUGAAGACAGUGGCUUGAGAUCUAGAAAAUUUGUUUUAACUUCAGAUGUAGAAGAAAAAAAAAUCUGUAACAAAAAAAAUCAACUCUUUCUCAUUCAUGAACUUUUUUUAUUUUAUAA